This 1395-nucleotide long non-coding RNA is filed under the name Brassica napus (rape). RNAcentral describes it as "long non-coding RNA (BNAP_LNC010461)". The record is from RNAcentral. Lineage: Eukaryota; Viridiplantae; Streptophyta; Magnoliopsida; Brassicales; Brassicaceae.
CCGUGGAUGGUCUGAACCUCCUCGAACUUGCGAAGGUCCCAGAUCUUGACUUUGCGCUCUUUACCAGACGUGGCCAUGAGAUGACCGUUCGGAUGAAAGGCAACAGCAGAGACCGGUCCAGGGUGGCACUGCAUUUGGACCAGAGGUGCUUGGCUGGUGGGUUUCCACAUCGUGACGGUUCCACCGGAAUGUCCCAAGGCGACAACGCCGUUGUAGGGAUUCACUUCCAUUACGUCUGUUCUGCCUUUGCCUGUACGGAUGCUAGCCACCAUGUCGCCGUAGGUAACGUCUUGGUAGUGUAGCUGACCGAUUUUGUUUAUUGAUGCGAGGAGGAAAUGGUUCUUUAGGAACCGGAGUCUGGCUACUGGACCACGCUCCUGAAGUUAGGCAAGAACAGGUGUAAGUUUCAUUAUUUGAUCCAUAUAGUUGUAUAUCAACAAAAAAAAGACAGUAAGCCUCACCUUCAGACAAUGGAGCUCAGUUCCAUCUCUCGCGUAAAUAUAAGAAUACCUGUAAGAAAACAAAGAGUCAAAAUAUUAGUCCAAGUACCCUCCAAGACACAAGGAGGCAUAAGGAUAUCCCCUCUCGUCGGCUUCUCCUUCCUCCUCGACGGCCUCAUCGCCCCGAUCUUCGAAGGAUCAAGCAUGAUCGUCUCAGGUGGAAGCUUAUCAAGAAGCAAAUGAACUUCCUUCUCCCUCCUCUGCUUCGACGUCUCAAACGGAUUAGCCACCCAAGAGUCGAAGUUAGGCUCCCCAGACCCUGGAAUGAGGACGCUCGACCAUCCCAUCGAGUGGCCGAUCCCGAGAACAUCCUCAUACGGUCUGAACAUAACCUUCUCCACCUGGUAGCCUUUCACCAUCGGGUGACUCAUGUAUCUACUAUGGCCGCCACCACUCGAGUCUCCCAAAACUUGAACAAACGAUCCGGUUCCAGCCGCUAGCAACCCUUUCUGGCUGAAACUCAGCGUCUUGGCGUGGAAACCGUGGAUGGUCUGAACCUCCUCGAACUUGCGAAGGUCCCAGAUCUUGACUUUGCGCUCUUUACCAGACGUGGCCAUGAGAUGACCGUUCGGAUGAAAGGCAACAGCAGAGACCGGUCCAGGGUGGCACUGCAUUUGGACCAGAGGUGCUUGGCUGGUGGGUUUCCACAUCGUGACGGUUCCACCGGAAUGUCCCAAGGCGACAACGCCGUUGUAGGGAUUCACUUCCAUUACGUCUGUUCUGCCUUUGCCUGUACGGAUGCUAGCCACCAUGUCGCCGUAGGUAACGUCUUGGUAGUGGAGCUGGCCGAUUUUGUUUACUGAUGCGAGGAGGAAAUGGUUUUUUAGGAACCGGAGUCUGGCAACUGGACCACGCUCCUGAAGUUAACCAAGAACAGGCAUAAGUUUCAUUAUUU